UCUCCGCUGGUGAACCAGCGGAGGGAUCAUUACAGGACUCGCAAGACUCCUUCACCCUGUGAACCUCACUACAAGCACGUUGCUUCGGCGGGUGUCCCGGCGGGGGUUUUCCCUCGCCGGGGCGCACAGCCCGCCGGCAGCCUACUAUACUCUGUCUCUUUGCGUUGGCAUCUCGAGAAAAAACAAACAAGUUAAAACUUUCAACAACGGAUCUCUUGGUUCUG
RNAcentral lists this unclassified non-coding RNA (224 nucleotides) under plant metagenome. Its description in RNAcentral is "partial contains small subunit ribosomal RNA, internal transcribed spacer 1, and 5.8S ribosomal RNA". The record is from RNAcentral.